Molecule: long non-coding RNA, 677 nt
Organism: Olea europaea var. sylvestris
Lineage: Eukaryota; Viridiplantae; Streptophyta; Magnoliopsida; Lamiales; Oleaceae
Exons: 2
Source: RefSeq, a predicted model, not a curated record
UUGAUAACUAAUACUUUUGUGAGGAGUAAGGAGGGGAAAAUUUUGACUGCUAUUACAAUUACUAUUCAUAUCAACAAUGGUUUUCGUAGAUUUCUGUGCGUAUAAUUUCGUGGGUACAUAAUUUAACACAUCUAAAGAAAUCCAAAACCCAAAGAAGACCCGUUUCCUUCUUCUGUGGCACAUACUUUGCCUUUUAUGUGACUUUCUCCAAAUCCAUGGCUGUGUUUCUCCUUACUGCAUGUAAAUUAACCCUACCCAAAUUCAAAUAAAAUUCUGAAACCAAAUCCCUAAACCAGAAUAUGUAAGACAUCUUUUCUCCUACCCAUGGUCGAAACCGUCGGAGCCCAACUAGUUUCGUCUGUAGCAAGGACGACACCGGGAUCAACAUGCUUUGGUGUCCGACCUUCUCGUCGACGUCAUUGCACGUGAGAUUCACUGACCUUGAUUGGGUUCUCACAUCCUUCCAACGAGACGAAUUAGGUUGACAUCCCCAUGGUUAGCUGUCUGCUGUUCUUAAUUAUUAUUAUUAUUUUUAGUUGUCGGUAUUUCAUUUUUCUUUUUCCUUUGAUGAAUUAAUUGGGAUGAGAAUUGAUGUUGUUAAAUGAAGAAAUCUAUUGAACUUGGAAUAGAAGAAAAGGAACCAGCAGCUAUUGUUAUAUGUUUGCAUAUUUUUAUUA